This 582-nucleotide ribosomal RNA is filed under the name uncultured Bacillota bacterium. RNAcentral's name for it is "bacterial SSU rRNA". It matches the Rfam family "Bacterial small subunit ribosomal RNA", at positions 8 to 581 of the family's 1533-position model. The record is from RNAcentral. Lineage: Bacteria; Bacillati; Bacillota.
AGAGUUUGAUCAUGGCUCAGGAUGAACGCUGGCGGCGUGCCUAAUACAUGCAAGUCAAACGAAGAGAGAAGCUUGCUUCUCUUUUAGUGGCGAACGGGUGAGUAAUACAUAAGCAACCUACCCAUACGACCGGGAUAACAGUUGGAAACGACUGCUAAUACCGGAUAGGUGACCGGGGGACAUCCCCUGAUCAUUAAAGCUGGGACACAGCACGAAUGGAUGGGCUUAUGGCGCAUUAGUUAGUUGGCGGGGUAACGGCCCACCAAGACGAUGAUGCGUAGCCGACCUGAGAGGGUGACCGGCCACACUGGGACUGAGACACGGCCCAGACUCCUACGGGAGGCAGCAGUAGGGAAUUUUCGGCAAUGGGCGCAAGCCUGACCGAGCAACGCCGCGUGAGUGAAGAAGGCCUUCGGGUUGUAAAGCUCUGUUGUAAGGGAAGAAUGGCCAAGAGAGGGAAUGCUCUUGGAGUGACGGUACCUUACCAGAAAGCCACGGCUAACUACGUGCCAGCAGCCGCGGUAAUACGUAGGUGGCAAGCGUUAUCCGGAAUUAUUGGGCGUAAAGGGAGCGUAGCGGUUU